CCUACGGGAGGCAGCAGUGGGGAAUAUUGCGCAAUGGGCGAAAGCCUGACGCAGCGACGCCGCGUGAGGGAUGAAGGUCUUCGGAUCGUAAACCUCUGUCAGCAGGGAAGAACGGUCACUGUGCUAAUCAGCAGUGAAUUGACGGUACCUGCAAAGGAAGCACCGGCUAACUCCGUGCCAGCAGCCGCGGUAAUACGGAGGGUGCGAGCGUUAAUCGGAAUUACUGGGCGUAAAGCGCUCGUAGGCGGUAUGUCAAGUCAAGGGUGAAAGCCCCGGGCUCAACGGGGGAACUGCCUUUGAUACUGGCAAACUGGAGUGUGUGAGAGGAUAGUGGAAUUCCAGGUGUAGGAGUGAAAUCCGUAGAUAUCUGGAGGAACAUCAGUGGCGAAGGCGACUAUCUGGCACAUAACUGACGCUGAGGAGCGAAAGCGUGGGUAGCAAACAGGAUUAGAUACCCCAGUAGUC
Molecule: ribosomal RNA, 465 nt
Filed under: uncultured bacterium
Lineage: Bacteria
Description: partial 16S ribosomal RNA
Rfam family: Bacterial small subunit ribosomal RNA
Source: RNAcentral